This 468-nucleotide ribosomal RNA is filed under the name uncultured bacterium. RNAcentral describes it as "partial 16S ribosomal RNA". It matches the Rfam family "Bacterial small subunit ribosomal RNA", at positions 28 to 507 of the family's 1533-position model. The record is from RNAcentral.
GACGAACGCUGGCGGCGUGCUUAACACAUGCAAGUCGAACGGAAAGGCCCUGCUUUUGUGGGGUGCUCGAGUGGCGAACGGGUGAGUAACACGUGAGUAACCUGCCCUUUACUUUGGGAUAACUUCAGGAAACUGGGGCUAAUACCGGAUAGGAGCUCCUGCUGCAUGGUGGGGGUUGGAAAGUUUCGGCGGUUGGGGAUGGACUCGCGGCUUAUCAGCUUGUUGGUGGGGUAGUGGCUUACCAAGGCUUUGACGGGUAGCCGGCCUGAGAGGGUGACCGGCCACAUUGGGACUGAGAUACGGCCCAGACUCCUACGGGAGGCAGCAGUGGGUAAUAUUGCACAAUGGGCGGAAGCCUGAUGCAGCAACGCCGCGUGCGGGAUGACGGCCUUCGGGUUGUAAACCGCUUUCGCCUGUGACGAAGCGUGAGUGACGGUAAUGGGUAAAGAAGCACCGGCUAACUACGUG